This 1234-nucleotide ribosomal RNA is filed under the name metagenome. RNAcentral's name for it is "bacterial LSU rRNA". It matches the Rfam family "Bacterial large subunit ribosomal RNA", at positions 1564 to 2808 of the family's 2925-position model. The record is from RNAcentral.
UGAGUACGAGAUGCUACGGCAUCGAAGCAGUCUAUGUCAUACUUCCAAGAAAAGCUUGCACUGUCAGAAACAGAUAAUGCCUGUACCAUAACCGACACAGGUGGGUAGGUAGAGUAUACUAAGGGGCGCGAGAUAACUCUCUCUAAGGAACUCGGCAAAAUGACUCCGUAACUUCGGGAGAAGGAGUGCCUUAUUUUUAAGGUUGCAAUAACAAGAUCCAAGCAACUGUUUACCAAAAACACAGGUCUCCGCUAAGUCGUAAGACGAUGUAUGGGGGCUGACGCCUGCCCAGUGCCAGAAGGUUAAAGAAGUCGGUUAGCAUUCGCGAAGCUGGUAACUGAAGCCCUGGUGAACGGCGGCCGUAACUAUAACGGUCCUAAGGUAGCGAAAUUCCUUGUCGGGUAAGUUCCGACCCGCACGAAAGGCGUAAUGAUUUGGAUACUGUCUCGGAGAGGGGCUCGGUGAAAUAGACUUGUCUGUGAAGAUGCGGACUACCUGCACCUGGACAGAAAGACCCUAUGAAGCUUUACUGUAACUUGAAAUUGAAAUUGGACUUUAUUUGCGCAGUAUAGGUGGGAGGCGUUGAAAAUAUUCUUGCGGGAAUAUUGGAGCCAUCAGUGAGAUACCACUCUUGUAAUGUUAGAUUUCUAACUUUAUAUCAUUAUCUGGUUAAAGAACAGUUUCAGGCGGGCAGUUUGACUGGGGCGGUCGCCUCCCAAAUGGUAACGGAGGCGCACAAAGGUUUCCUCUGAACGGGUAGAAAUCGUAUCUAGAGUGUAAAGGCAUAAGGAAGCUUGACUGUGAGACCUACAAGUCGAGCAGGGACGAAAGUCAGUCUUAGUGAUCUGACGGUGCUGAGUGGAAAGGCCGUCACUCAACGGAUAAAAGUUACUCUAGGAUAACAGGCUGAUCUCCCCCAAGAGUUCACAUCGACGGGGAGGUUUGGCACCUCGAUGUCGGCUCAUCGCAUCCUGGGGCGGUAGUACGUCCCAAGGGUUGGGCUGUUCGCCCAUGAAAGCGGUACGCGAGCUGGGUUCAGAACGUCGUGAGACAGUUCGGUCCAUAUCCGGUGUAGGCGUUAGAAUAUUGAGAGGAGCCUUCUUUAGUACGAGAGGACCGAGAAGGACAUACCUCUGGUGUACCAGUUAUCGUGCCAACGGUAAACGCUGGGUAGCUAUGUAUGGAGUGGAUAACCGCUGAAAGCAUCUAAGUGGGAAGCCCACCCCAAGAUAAG